This 254-nucleotide ribosomal RNA is filed under the name uncultured bacterium. RNAcentral's name for it is "partial 16S ribosomal RNA". It matches the Rfam family "Bacterial small subunit ribosomal RNA", at positions 524 to 776 of the family's 1533-position model. The record is from RNAcentral.
UACGAGGGGGGGCGAGCGUUGUUCGGAAUUAUUGGGCGUAAAGGGUGCGUAGGCGGUUCGGUAAGUCUCAUGUGAAAUCUACAGGCUCAACUUGUAGUCUGCAUGAGAAACUGCCGGGCUUGAGUAUGGGAGAGGUGAGUGGAAUUCCUGGUGUAGCGGCGAAAUGCGUAGAUAUCAGGAGGAACACCUGUGGCGAAAGCGGCUCACUGGACCAUAACUGACGCUGAUGCACGAAAGCUAGGGGAGCAAACAGG